GAGCGCAACCCUUAUUUUUAGUUGCCUUUUAUGGAACUCUAAAGAGACUGCYGGUUAUAAACCGGAGGAAGGCGGGGAUGACGUCAAGUCAGCAUGCCCCUUACACCCUGGGCUACACACGUGCUACAUUGGGCGAGACAAUGAGAUGCGACUCUGCGAAGACAAGCUAAUCUAUAAACUCGUUCUAAGUUCGGAUUGUAGGCUGCAACUCGCCUACGUGAAG
RNAcentral lists this ribosomal RNA (223 nucleotides) under Odontella sp. (in: diatoms). Its description in RNAcentral is "Odontella sp. (in: Bacillariophyta) partial 16S small subunit ribosomal RNA". It matches the Rfam family "Bacterial small subunit ribosomal RNA", at positions 1094 to 1325 of the family's 1533-position model. The record is from RNAcentral. Lineage: Eukaryota; Bacillariophyta; Thalassiosirophyceae; Eupodiscales; Odontellaceae.